AGAGGGCAAUAAUAUCACAU
This 20-nucleotide microRNA is filed under the name Gadus morhua (Atlantic cod). RNAcentral's name for it is "gmo-miR-11185-5p". Lineage: Eukaryota; Metazoa; Chordata; Actinopteri; Gadiformes; Gadidae. The record is from miRBase by way of RNAcentral.